UACGUAGGUGGCAAGCGUUGUCCGGAAUUAUUGGGCGUAAAGCGCGCGCAGGCGGCCUCUUAAGUCUGAUGUGAAAGCCCCCGGCUCAACCGGGGAGGGCCAUUGGAAACUGGGAGGCUUGAGUAUAGGAGAGAAGAGUGGAAUUCCACGUGUAGCGGUGAAAUGCGUAGAGAUGUGGGGGAACACCAGUGGCGAAGGCGACUCUUUGGCCUAUAACUGACGCUGAGGCGCGAAAGCGUGGGGAGCAAACAGG
Molecule: ribosomal RNA, 253 nt
Filed under: uncultured bacterium
Lineage: Bacteria
Description: partial 16S ribosomal RNA
Rfam family: Bacterial small subunit ribosomal RNA
Source: RNAcentral